UUUAGCCUUUAUAGAAUUGCAUAUCCAGGUGUAUGUCAUCAACAUUGCUGAAGGUUGCUAGAGAACAUUCUUUGGUUGUUGCAAUCGUUGGCAAAGGGCAUUUGUCUGGGAUAAAGCAGCACUGGAAGCAGCCUAUUGAGGUUAGAACCAUUUUUGUAAUGGAUAUUCGUGCUGAUUUGUUUGUGAAUUUGAUUCAUAAUAUUGCUAGAAUGGUUGCCACGAGAGAUUCUAGCUUUUCAUGAAAGGUAGGUUGAGUCUGGAGAGCUCUAUCGUUGCUGAACUGUCUCAAGAUAUGUGAAAGCUAUAAUGAGAUCACAUUCUGUGUGUAAUGCAUGUUAGCAGUAUUUUUAGUUUGAUAAUAUUUUUUAUAUUUUAGAAAGCAUUAUGAAAUUACUAAAGUCCUUAAAGAUCGUUACUGAAAACAUAUUAUUGCCAAGUAGUGGUGAUCUUGUAGUUCAAAAGAUACAUUUACUUCAAUUUUCUACUCGGAGAAUCCAUUCUAGGAGGUUGUAUUGGUAACUAGUGUUGGUUUUUUUCAGUUCAGGUUGAUUUUUUCGGAACGUGUGGAAUAGGCAACAAUUGGUUGUCAUCUCUCAUAAAUCAAUAACUUCAUUGUUAGGCAUUGUCUGCAUGCUAUAUCAUUAGGCAUUGUCUGCAUGGUAAUUGAUUCUAUU
Molecule: long non-coding RNA, 674 nt
Filed under: Phoenix dactylifera (date palm)
Lineage: Eukaryota; Viridiplantae; Streptophyta; Magnoliopsida; Arecales; Arecaceae
Description: long non-coding RNA (PDAC_LNC013520)
Source: RNAcentral